Molecule: long non-coding RNA, 1251 nt
Organism: Elaeis guineensis (African oil palm)
Lineage: Eukaryota; Viridiplantae; Streptophyta; Magnoliopsida; Arecales; Arecaceae
Source: RefSeq, a predicted model, not a curated record
CUCCACUUCUAUCGUUUCCAAAAGCAUGAAGGGAAAUGGAAGAAAAAGGAGAAGAUACCCAGCCGGACCAACCCCACUGAGACGCGCGAGGUCUUCUCCAAAUCGUUAUCGCUGAAACCCCCAAAAAAAUGGCGGCGUCAACGAUCUCCUCCUCCUCCUCAGCCGCCGCCGCCUGCUCUUCUUCGCUCUACCUCUCCUCUCCUCGCUCCUCCAAAAACCACUCAAGAUCCUCGCCAUUGACCCCCAAAAUGAAGCUAUCUUUCCUCCCUCCAAGCUAUCCAAUUGCCAAUUUUUUUUGAUCGCUUAUACCAUCUGAUCCCGAUCUGGAUUCAAGGCGAAUCCGUAAGACGAGAAUUGGGAGAAGCAGGGGUACGGGGCGAGGAGCUGAGCGUGGACGGGGUCAAGAAGCUCGGGAAGCGCAAGGUCCUCAGCGGCGUGGAGAAGGCCGGCCUCCUCUUCAAGUCUCUCCUCCGUUGAGAAGCUCGAUCGGGUUCUUCUCCAAGGCCGAGGAGCUCAGCCUCCUCGAGCGGGCCGCGCGCCUGUGCCUCACUCGCUGCCCUCGCCUCAAUGUCGCCGCCGUUCCUUCUCGCUUUUGUUGCCGUCGUGUUCGCGGCCGGCGCCCGCUCUUCGGUGGGGUCGGUCGUUCUGGGUGUCCUACGACAGUCCGACUGAAGGGCGACGUGCUAAAGGUCCGGUAUGGUGCUCCGCGGUGCACGUCUCGAGAGGCUGUGGAGGCUCAUCUACUUACAUGCCGAGAAAUGUGCUUCACAAACUUGAGCAACCAGAGAUGGAUGUAUGUAUAGCGAGUGCUGAAAAAAUAUCAUCCCAACUCCUGUCUUAUUAGCUGAUGCAGUCUCACAAGCUUCAAGUAUCUUUUGAGCAGAUGGCACAAUCAAUAAAUUGCUACCAUGUUUCCCGGUCCGUCACAUGGUAGCAAAUUUAUGUAGAUUCAUUUUUCUUGAUGGGUUUCGAAGAAACUCAAAAGUUAACUGCUUUCAAGCAUACUGAGUUCAAACAUUGCAUCUGUAAAGUUGGAUCAUGAAGUACCGGUGGUUGAAGAACAGCCGAGGUCAUCAACGACUUCUAACUUGUUUGAGUUUCGAUGCUUUGGCCAUCUUUCUUAUUUCUAGCUUUCCUAGAUAAUUUCUUAACUGAAAGUACAAAUGUUGUGCUGGCAUGUAAGUUACACAUUUACCAUUACCAUUUUCUAUAUAUGACUUGAGCAUGAUUAGUUUAGAAGAAGAUCUGGAU